This 500-nucleotide ribosomal RNA is filed under the name uncultured bacterium. RNAcentral describes it as "partial 16S ribosomal RNA". It matches the Rfam family "Bacterial small subunit ribosomal RNA", at positions 30 to 523 of the family's 1533-position model. The record is from RNAcentral.
AUUGAACGCUGGCGGAAUGCUUUACACAUGCAAGUCGAACGGCAGCACGGACUUCGGUCUGGUGGCGAGUGGCGAACGGGUGAGUACUGUAUCGGAACGUGCCCAGUCGUGGGGGAUAACGUAGUGAAAAUUACGCUAAUAACGCAUACGAUCUAUGGAUGAAAGCGGGGGAUCGCAAGAACUCGCGUCAUUCGAGCGGCCGAUAUCAGAUUAGGUAGUGGGUGGGGUAAAGGCCCACCAAGGCAACGAUCUGUAGCUGGUCUGAGAGGACGACCAGCCACACUGGAAAUGAGACACGGUCCAGACUCCUACGGGAGGCAGCAGUGGGGAAUGUUGGACAAUGGGCGAGAGCCUGAUCCAGCCAUUCCGCGUGCAGGAUGAAGGCCCUCGGGUUGUAAACUGCUUUUGUACAGAACGAAAAGGUUUCUACUAAUACUAGGAGCUCAUGACGGUACUGUAAGAAUAAGCACCGGCUAACUACGUGCCAGCCGCCGCAGUAA